GGUAUGAAUCACACAGUUUUUCGAGUUUCUGGUGUCUAUUGACUUGUAUGAUUCACCUUUGGGAACAAGUUUAACACUUCCACACAUAACAAGUUCGCAAGUUUUUUAUUAGAAUGGAUUUCUAUAAAAUUUUCGUUAUCCAUUAUACUUCUGUUUGCCUAAAUGGUUACUUCAAGAUGAAGUCAUUCACCAGUUGGCUAAAUGAUUUUUAAUAUGAAGAUUAUUUAGUAAUAGUCAUUGUUACAACAUCUUAUUUCUUAAUGUGUUACACUGACGCAUCCAUAUCCAGCCUGCAGUUGCUUUAAAGCAUGCUAAAGAAGGAACAGAAAGCUCAGCUUUCUGGUUUGCUCUUGGAGGAAAACAGAGUUACACCAGCAAAAAAGUCAACAAUGACAUUAUCAGAGAACCACAUUUGUUUAGUUUCUAUUUUAAUAGAGGAAAGUUUCAGGUAGAGGAGGUGUACAACUUUUCCCAAGAUGAUUUGUUAACAGAAGACAUCGUCAUACUAGACACGCAUGAAGAAGUGUUUGUUUGGAUUGGCCAGUCUGUGGACCCAAAAGAAAAAUAAAAUGCUUUUGAAAUU
This is a non-coding RNA of Arachis ipaensis, 583 nucleotides long. NCBI's taxonomy places the organism in Eukaryota, Viridiplantae, Streptophyta, Magnoliopsida, Fabales, Fabaceae. The record is from RefSeq and is a predicted model, not a curated record.